GUGGGGAAUAUUGGACAAUGGGCGCAAGCCUGAUCCAGCCAUGCCGCGUGCAGGAAGACGCAUCUAUGGUGUGUAAACUGCUUUUGUACGGGAAGAAACACUCCCUCGUGAGGGAGCUUGACGGUACCGUAAGAAUAAGGAUCGGCUAACUCCGUGCCAGCAGCCGCGGUAAUACGGAGGAUCCAAGCGUUAUCCGGAAUCAUUGGGUUUAAAGGGUACGUAGGCGGUUUAAUAAGUCAGUGGUGAAAGCCCAUCGCUCAACGAUGGAACGGCCAUUGAUACUGUUAGACUUGAAUUACAAGGAAGUAACUAGAAUAUGUAGUGUAGCGGUGAAAUGCUUAGAUAUUACAUGGAAUACCAAUUGCGAAGGCAGGUUACUACUUGUGGAUUGACGCUGAUGGACGAAAGCGUGGGGAGCGAACAGGAUUAGAAACCCGUGUAGUCC
Molecule: ribosomal RNA, 445 nt
Filed under: uncultured bacterium
Lineage: Bacteria
Description: partial 16S ribosomal RNA
Rfam family: Bacterial small subunit ribosomal RNA
Source: RNAcentral